GACGUAGGUGGCGAACGUUAUCCGGAAUUAUUGGGCGUAAAGGGUGCGUAGAUGGUCGGAAAAGUUAGUGGUGGGAAAUCGAGGCCUAACCUCGUGGAAACUAUUAAUACUAUCAGACUAGAGGGCAGGAGAGGUUAACGGAACUCCAUGUGGAGCGGUAAAAUGUGACGAUAUAUGGAAGAACACCGGUGGCGAAGGCGUCCAUCUGGCCCGUUACUGACGCUGAUGCGCGAAAGCUAGGGGAGCAAACGGG
RNAcentral lists this ribosomal RNA (253 nucleotides) under uncultured bacterium. Its description in RNAcentral is "partial 16S ribosomal RNA". It matches the Rfam family "Bacterial small subunit ribosomal RNA", at positions 524 to 776 of the family's 1533-position model. The record is from RNAcentral.